UGUGAGAGUGAUGAGUUGCACUAAUCGGUCGGGGCGUCUGCUGCAGUGGCAUCAACACCCCGACCUGAGGACACACAAGAGUGCACAGGGGCCAUCUGACUCACC
Small nucleolar RNA from Xiphias gladius (swordfish), 105 nucleotides. RefSeq annotates it as small nucleolar RNA SNORD67. The transcript has a single exon. The record is from RefSeq and is a predicted model, not a curated record. Lineage: Eukaryota; Metazoa; Chordata; Actinopteri; Istiophoriformes; Xiphiidae.